Molecule: ribosomal RNA, 318 nt
Filed under: Clostridioides difficile
Lineage: Bacteria; Bacillati; Bacillota; Clostridia; Peptostreptococcales; Peptostreptococcaceae
Description: bacterial SSU rRNA
Rfam family: Bacterial small subunit ribosomal RNA
Source: RNAcentral
CGGGAUAAUAUAUUUGAGAGGCAUCUCUUAAAUAUCAAAGGUGAGCCAGUACAGGAUGGACCCGCGUCUGAUUAGCUAGUUGGUAAGGUAACGGCUUACCAAGGCGACGAUCAGUAGCCGACCUGAGAGGGGGAUCGGCCACAUUGGAACUGAGACACGGUCCAAACUCCUACGGGAGGCAGCAGUGGGGAAUAUUGCACAAUGGGCGAAAGCCUGAUGCAGCAACGCCGCGUGAGUGAUGAAGGCCUUCGGGUCGUAAAACUCUGUCCUCAAGGAAGAUAAUGACGGUACUUGAGGAGGAAGCCCCGGCUAACUACG